GCGGAUGUGGCUCAGUUGGUAGAGCAUCACCUUGCCAAGGUGAGGGUCGCGGGUUCGAGUCCCGUCAUCCGCUCC
RNAcentral lists this transfer RNA (75 nucleotides) under Actinomyces naeslundii. RNAcentral's name for it is "tRNA-Gly". It matches the Rfam family "tRNA". Rfam says of the family: Transfer RNA (tRNA) molecules are approximately 80 nucleotides in length. Their secondary structure includes four short double-helical elements and three loops (D, anti-codon, and T loops). Lineage: Bacteria; Bacillati; Actinomycetota; Actinomycetes; Actinomycetales; Actinomycetaceae. The record is from RNAcentral. RNAcentral also lists the same sequence under 13 other names.